UACGAAGGGGGCUAGCGUUGCUCGGAAUUACUGGGCGUAAAGGGCGCGUAGGCGGAUACUUAAGUUGGGGGUGAAAUCCCGGGGCUCAACCUCGGAAUUGCCUUCAAAACUGGGUAUCUUGAGUUCGGGAGAGGUGAGUGGAACUCCGAGUGUAGAGGUGAAAUUCGUAGAUAUUCGGAAGAACACCAGUGGCGAAGGCGACUCACUGGCCCGAUACUGACGCUGAGGCGCGAAAGCGUGGGGAGCAAACAGG
RNAcentral lists this ribosomal RNA (253 nucleotides) under uncultured bacterium. Its description in RNAcentral is "partial 16S ribosomal RNA". It matches the Rfam family "Bacterial small subunit ribosomal RNA", at positions 524 to 776 of the family's 1533-position model. The record is from RNAcentral.